This 220-nucleotide ribosomal RNA is filed under the name Ascomycota sp. Da_Gry_H4. Its description in RNAcentral is "5.8S ribosomal RNA". The stretch from base 65 to 218 matches the Rfam family "5.8S ribosomal RNA". From Rfam's summary of the family: 5.8S ribosomal RNA (5.8S rRNA) is a component of the large subunit of the eukaryotic ribosome. The record is from RNAcentral. Lineage: Eukaryota; Fungi; Ascomycota.
CAUGUGCCUGCCAGAGGACCAAACUCUGAAUAUUAGUGAUGUCUGAGUACUAUAUAAUAGUUAAAACUUUCAACAACGGAUCUCUUGGUUCUGGCAUCGAUGAAGAACGCAGCGAAAUGCGAUAAGUAAUGUGAAUUGCAGAAUUCAGUGAAUCAUCGAAUCUUUGAACGCACAUUGCGCCCUGUGGUAUUCCGCAGGGCAUGCCUGUUCGAGCGUCAUU